UGGGAGGAGUAUUUAGGAGCCUGCCACCAGUCCUUUGUUGCUUGAGUGUUUUUGCCCAUGUGUACCUGUGAGGUGUGGGCAGUUUCCUCUCUACCUGGACUUGGACAUCCAGUACCUCUUACUACAGUGAACUUUGGAUUAUUCACCUCUAGACUGUGGUUUGGUUCCUAAACCUCCCAAGCUCCUACCUCUGUGUGGACUCAGACCUGCUGUUGGACCAGCAUUCUGGAUUACCUGACUCCUGAGCCCUGUGCAGAUGGAGGCAAUGUGCAGAUCUGCAGUGAGGAGAAACAGGACGUUAACAGGGAAGGUGAAGGGGACUCCUGAAAAAGGGGAGCCGGAUUUAUUCAGGCAGAAAGCAGGCGGGAUCAGCUGCUGAUCAUCACAGCUUCACAGGAGCUGCAAUGCAGCUACGCCCUGGGUGACCCGAUGGCAGGUCUGCCUGUUCUCACCUGGUGGGAAGAAUGUGUUACCACACUUAUGGAGUAAUAUACAGCGCUCUCCACGCUUUUAUUGCAGUUACAUAAUCUCACACUGAAAAGCUUAGAAAAAUUCAACCUUUACUUCAGAAAUUUUUCAGUGGGGAAAACUCCACACUAAGAAAUAAUAGUUUUUAACAACAUCCACAGUUUUUGGUUCUUCCUGCCCGUAAUUCUUCGUAUAUCUCCCUUGUGCCAAUUGGACAGCACUUUGGUAUCUCCUAUGAGGUUAUUAGCAGGACUUUGUAGAACUUAAUUACAUACUAAGGAGGUAAUUCAGCCAUUUGAUUCAGGAGUGUAUGACCAGGAGCAGGUCUAAAGGUGGCAGGACAUUGGCCCUUGAGGACUAGAGGUUAAAUCUAGACCAGGGGUCAGCAGCCUUUAUAGUCCAAGAGCCAUUUUUGUCCUCGCUACUGCUAAAUAAAAUUUAUCUUUAGCUGCACUUCAGAAAAAAGAAGUUUAUCAAAUUUUCUAAAUACCUACCACAUAAAAUCUGGUUUAUGGUUAAAGUAUUGUUUUUUUUCUUUGUAUUUUUAGGUUUUAAAGCAAAGAGAACGUAAAAUAUUUACUAGAAGAGAAUUAAAAAGCUGUUCUUUCAUAUAGCAUUGCGUAUUUAUGGAAAAUGAAAACGGGGAAAAAACAAAGUUUGUAACUUAAUGAAAAAACAAUUCUGUGCAUCCACAGUUUCAUUGAGUUGUGGAAGUUCUUUGCUGAAAUGACAUAGCCCUUUUGGCCAACGUUGUUAAGAGACUGUAUGAAGCUACAGGCUGCAGACCCAGGUCUAGACUGUAGAAAAACCUUUAGCUAGAAUGCCUCUGAAACACUCUGCAUAGUUAGCUUUCAGCGGAGCAAAAACAGGAUACAUGCAGAAUAAAAUAGAAUAGAAUACUGUGAAAGAAAAACUGUGCAGUAAUUAAAAAUAGCAUACUCUGAAUAAAAAAAAUGUGUAACUAAGUAGGGUGAUUUAAAAAAAAUAUUAAAAAUGUGCAUGUUU
This is a long non-coding RNA of Girardinichthys multiradiatus, 1473 nucleotides long. RefSeq lists it as uncharacterized. The transcript has 3 exons. The record is from RefSeq and is a predicted model, not a curated record. NCBI's taxonomy places the organism in Eukaryota, Metazoa, Chordata, Actinopteri, Cyprinodontiformes, Goodeidae.